GUGGGGAAUAUUGGACAAUGGGGGGAACCCUGAUCCAGCCAUGCCGCGUGUGUGAAGAAGGCCUUUUGGUUGUAAAGCACUUUAAGCGAGGAGGAGGCUACCGAGAUUAAUACUCUUGGAUAGUGGACGUUACUCGCAGAAUAAGCACCGGCUAACUCUGUGCCAGCAGCCGCGGUAAUACAGAGGGUGCAAGCGUUAAUCGGAUUUACUGGGCGUAAAGCGCGCGUAGGUGGCCAAUUAAGUCAAAUGUGAAAUCCCCGAGCUUAACUUGGGAAUUGCAUUCGAGACUGGUUGGCUAGGGUAUGGGAGAGGAUGGUAGAAUUCCAGGUGUAGCGGUGAAAUGCGUAGAGAUCUGGAGGAAUACCGAUGGCGAAGGCAGCCAUCUGGCCUAAUACUGACACUGAGGUGCGAAAGCAUGGGGAGCAAACAGGAUUAGAUACCCGAGUAGUCC
RNAcentral lists this ribosomal RNA (451 nucleotides) under uncultured bacterium. Its description in RNAcentral is "partial 16S ribosomal RNA". It matches the Rfam family "Bacterial small subunit ribosomal RNA", at positions 354 to 796 of the family's 1533-position model. The record is from RNAcentral.